CAAGCGUGUAUAUUUCUGCGAGAUAAGGCAUUUGUAGAAUCGAAAUCCACACAGGAAGAUGGGAAUUUCAGUAUUUGUCUUUGCUCUGUGUUCAUUAGGUAUGUUCGUAACUUGAUAUAACUUACGAUGAAAAUUUGUCAGAAUGUAAUAUAUAGCAUUUUCUCAUCACCAUAUUUUCAGCAAACUAUUACGUCUGCCAACACAUGCAAUUGAAAUAGAUAUUAUCUUUAAAUACUUAUUACUAGUCAAAUAUGUUUUGUUUCAAAAAUGAAUUUGGAAUUUCCUUUAUUGAAUCAUCAAUGUAGUUUUUUAGACAUUCAGCGUUAUAAGAAAUGUACCAUGUAGAUUCGUAUCUUUUAAUAUGCAUGAUAUGGACGACUAUUAUCUGUAAUUCAAAACAAAACAAAAACAUAAAAACAAAAUUAAGAGAAUUACAUAUGUAAACGUUGUAUCGAGAAACUUAUGCCUCAAAUUAGAAGAACAGUGUUGAAGAAGAACGGUGUUGACAUGAUAUCAAUUAUAUGGUCAUUUUUUCUCUCAUAAAUCAUUGAUUGCAAAAUUACAAAUUAUUCAAAAUACUAAGGAUUUACUUAUCCCAGGCAUCGAUUACAAUAGCCGUAGUAAGCACAACUUUUUGGACUUUGGGUCUUCAAUGAUCUACAACUUAAUACUUUUGGCUUUUUAACCAUUUUGAUCUGAGCGUCACUGAUGAGUCUUAUGUAGACGAAACGCGUGUCUGGCGUAUAACAAUAUAAGCCUGAUACCUUUGACAACUAUUUACUGUAACAUUAAUGAUUUAAAUGUAUUCUAAAAACUAUAUGCAGAAAGUAUACAGACAUUAUAAACCGAUGAAUGGUGAUUUACCUAGAUCUUCUACGUACAGUUGAAAUCGACGCCAUUAACGGUCUUUGUCUAGUUGUAAGAUAUAAAAGUUUCAUCCGUGGAACUUUCUAGCAAUUAACAAGAUGAAGAAAUCAGCUAAAAUAUGUUGUCUAUUAAUUGUUUAAAAAUAUAUUUGUAUCAAGUUCAUCUAAAAUAUAUGUUUUUAUAUUUUUAUGUACAUCAAAUAAAUUGCAAUAUGCACAUUUCUGCAUGGUAAAACAAAGUCAGCUUCUUUCCUUUGAAAGGUUUGGAAGACAUUUUUUUUAUUAAUUUCUCAAUAAGAGAGGGAACACACUAUUUCAAGAAAGUCUUCUUGAUAUUAAGCUUUCACAUUUUACAAAUACAUAUAUAUAUGUUAACAUUAAAAGUUAUAACCUAGUUAGAUAUGCUAGCCUUACAAUGGAAUUUAUGUAUUGAACUUUCAUUAUUUAUAUUGUUUUAGUGCUGGUCUCCAGUGAAUCGUGUCCAAAUGGGACGAGUAAGGACUGUCUCCAUACUAAGUGUCCUGAGUUAAACUACAAAUUAUCGUGCAUUGAUAAUUUUUGCACGUGUGCUGAGAUUGGACCUGCUGGUACAAUUUUUCAAUAUGUUUUAUAAUAUAAUAAUUUGUUAAGAAAUAUGUAGUACAUACUGUACAAAAUUUGUAAAGUUUACGAAAAAUAGCAGCUGCUGCUAUAUUAUCAUGGUAAUGUUAGGGGACGACCAUUUGAUAUUCUGGGGGGAGGGGGGGACAGGAGGAUUUGUUUUUGAUCGGUUAUUUAUUUUUGUAAUCUAAGAGGACAGAUUAUUCAUUUUCUGCACUGUUGAAAGCAAGAUUUUUCAUUUUCAUUAAAGCAAGGGACUGAUUAUUCAUUUUCACUACUAUAUUUUUGAUAUUCAAAAACAUACAAUUUAGUAUUACAUAGUAUUUAGUCAAGUCAUUAUGUACCAUUUAAUUAGAUUAACCAUCCCCCUCUGAAGAAAUGAUUCUUUUAAAUCCCCAACUGCAUAAACAUGUACUAUUAAAGUUUUGUUAUAACUAAGCACUUUGAAAUGUAUUGGCAAGCAUAGUAAGCCGAGCGGAGCGAGGCAAACAAUUUUUUGAAGGGUUUUGGAGCCACUGAAGGCCCAAGAAGCUAUAGAACAAAUGGUGCAAAAUCAUGCUUUCUGGUGUUCCGAAGACCCUUUCAUAAUCUGAAAAUGAAGUUUUGUUUUAAUAAUUUUUUGACAACUAUUUUGGUCUCAAAGCAAAGUGUAAGACUGAAGUUUCUAGGGACAACAUCAAAAGACCUAUGUGCAUGAUAAAGCAAAAAUGGAAUUCACAUAGUUAAGCCUGUGACUGCUGUUUUUUUUAAACUCGACAUCAAGUUCAUAACAAAAUUACUAGAUUACAAAAGGAAUGCAACACUAACAGAAUACAGAAGGGCAAUCAAUGAACAAAAGACAAAUAAAUAAAAAACAUUGAUCCCGAAAAAUCAGGGCUAUAAAAGUCUGAGGGAAAACAGAACUUUCUUCUUGCAAGGCCGUGAACACAAUUUGAUAUGGAGACAAGCGUUUGGUUUUGAAAUUACCUACUUGUAGUUACGGCCCUGUUAAAAUAAAAGUGAGGUAAGGUUUCCUGAGACAAUAUACCUCAAGUUAAAUGAAACCAAUUUUCAGACAUUUCAAGUAUAUUUAAAUAAUAUUUAUACUUUUGUUAUUAAAAAAUUUGGGAAGUGUUUCCCCGAUUUUUUUUGGGAAAAAAAGAUGAAUUGAUGAAGAAUCUGGUGCCAUCUCAUACUUUCGAUUAGACCUGGUGAGUUAUUUAUUGUCUAUACAUUGCAAGUCAGGUAAUUUAUUUUCAAACUACCACAGAACAAACCAUUUAUUUUUGUGAUUAUCAAGGCUGAGUUAUUCAUUUUAAAAUCCUCCUGCCCCCCCCCCCCCCCCCAAGAAUAUCAAAUGGUCGUCCCUUUAGGUAUUUUAAGUAUGUUUGAUUGUAAAUAUUUGGUUUUUUGGUCUAUUGUGCAGCCCCUUUCGGUUUGCUAAUAAUAAGAACAUUUCACAACACUCAUUGUACAGGGAUAAUUUCUCCCAAAGUUGCCAAGGCUUCCUUGGAAGGAAAUGAUCAGUUAUGAUUCAAUAUACAUGUAACCUCAAAACACUGCUCACAGAGACGCAGGUAUGGGUCUUAACAAUAUUUUAAAAAUAUAAUAAACAAAAAAAUAAUAAUUAAAAACAAUCAAACGAAAACAAAACAAGACAAAACAAACUAAUUCAACACCUAAUUUGCUCUUUUCUAAUUUUGAUUGGUAAACUACUCGAAAGAUAAAUAUCGUUUUAUGCUUUAGUUUGUAGGAAUAAGGACACAUGUUUACAACAUAGUCCAUGGAACUGUCCACAGAAUCGGCGCCAUUGUUAUGAUAAUGUGUGUGUCUGUGCACCAACCAUAUAAAGCAGGAUACCAAUAAAAGUCUUACCAUUGUG
Molecule: long non-coding RNA, 3327 nt
Filed under: Mytilus galloprovincialis (Mediterranean mussel)
Lineage: Eukaryota; Metazoa; Mollusca; Bivalvia; Mytilida; Mytilidae
Source: RNAcentral